CCUACGGGUGGCAGUAGUGGGGAAUAUUGGACAAUGGGGGAAACCCUGAUCCAGCAAUGCCGCGUGUGUGAAGAAGGCCUGCGGGUUGUAAAGCACUUUCGGUUGGGAAGAAAAGUUUGGCGCCAAUACCGCCGAACCUUGACGUUACUGACAGAAGAAGCACCGGCUAACUCUGUGCCAGCAGCCGCGGUAAUACAGAGGGUGCAAACGUUGAUCGGAGUGUGUGGGCGUGGAGCUGCCGUAGGUGUGCGAAAUCCCCGGGCUUAACCUGGGAACUGCAUUCGAUACUACAUGGCUAGAGUAUGGUAGAGGGAGGUGGAAUUUCCGGUGUAGCGGUGAAAUGCGUAGAUAUCGGAAGGAACACCAAUGGCGAAGGCAGCUUCCUGGACUAAUACUGACACUGAGGCACGAAAGCGUGGGUAGCAAACAGGAUUAGAUACCCGAGUAGUC
RNAcentral lists this ribosomal RNA (450 nucleotides) under uncultured bacterium. RNAcentral describes it as "partial 16S ribosomal RNA". It matches the Rfam family "Bacterial small subunit ribosomal RNA", at positions 338 to 795 of the family's 1533-position model. The record is from RNAcentral.